AUGUUAACAUAUCACACGUUAACAUCGGUUUUCCAAAAAACCGAUGUUAACGUGUAUGCAUUAACAU
This is a non-coding RNA of Glycine soja, 67 nucleotides long. Lineage: Eukaryota; Viridiplantae; Streptophyta; Magnoliopsida; Fabales; Fabaceae. The record is from Rfam.